Long non-coding RNA from Mauremys reevesii (Reeves's turtle), 441 nucleotides. RefSeq lists it as uncharacterized. The record is from RefSeq and is a predicted model, not a curated record. The transcript has 4 exons. NCBI's taxonomy places the organism in Eukaryota, Metazoa, Chordata, Testudines, Geoemydidae.
GAUUAACCCUGUGCUGGCCGGGGCGGAAGCUUUGUCUGGGGACCCGGCCUCCCGAGUACCCCUGCGGCCGGGCGGGGCGGCGAGCCCCUGGCUGCCCGGUGACCCGUGUGGUUGGUUCCCAGGUCACAGUGCGUGUGAAGGGUGAAGAUGUGACCCCAGAGGAGAUGGAUGCCCCUGAAGCAUUAUGGGAAUCUCAGCGCACCCAGCAGCCCCAUCCCGCAUGGGGAUCCCUGGAGGAGGCGGCCCUGAGGAAAUGUGAGCUGCCAGGCGCCCCUGGAAAGGAGCCCGGAGUUGGAAGAGAAAUGGUCAUCUCUAACGUGGAAGCGGCUAUGGGUGCGGAGCAUGAUCACUGCCUAAAAAUAGCCUGGACAGCAGCUCUGUCUAGUGGGGCAGGGGCUCCAAAGAGAUUGCAGGUGCUGGAAUCCUGAGCCGGGCUGAAGA